AUGAACGCUAGCGACAGGCUUAACACAUGCAAGUCGAGGGGCAGCACGCUUUCGGGUGGUGGCGACCGGCGCACGGGUGAGUAACACGUAUGCAACCUACCCAUAACUUGGGGAUAGCCCGCGGAAACGCGGAUUAAUACCUAAUGACACAGGGGCACCGCAUGGUGCUAUUUGUUAAAGAUUUAUCGGUUAUGGAUGGGCAUGCGCGGGAUUAGUUAGUUGGUAGGGUAACGGCUUACCAAGGCAUCGAUCCUUAGGGGAACUGAGAGGUUUAUCCCCCACACUGGUACUGAGACACGGACCAGACUCCUACGGGAGGCAGCAGUGAGGAAUAUUGGUCAAUGGGCGAGAGCCUGAACCAGCCAAGUCGCGUGAAGGAAGACGGUAUUAUGUAUUGUAAACUUCUUUUAUAGGGGAAUAAAGUGCGGGAUGUAUCCUGUUUUGUAUGUACCCUAUGAAUAAGCAUCGGCUAACUCCGUGCCAGCAGCCGCGGUAAUACGGAGGAUGCGAGCGUUAUCCGGAUUUAUUGGGUUUAA
Molecule: ribosomal RNA, 536 nt
Filed under: uncultured bacterium
Lineage: Bacteria
Description: bacterial SSU rRNA
Rfam family: Bacterial small subunit ribosomal RNA
Source: RNAcentral